AUGACAGACUUCUUGAACCUCCACAUCAUCUCCCGUCCUCGUUAUUUUGGAAAGACCCUUAUGCUAUCAACACUACAGUCCUUUCUGGAUAUCAAACAUCGCAAUUCCUCGGUGAUUAACAAUUUUAGGGGUCUCAACAUCAUGAAGGACAAAAACUCCGUCAGAGAACACAGGCACAUGUACCCCAUUAUCCGUCUCAACUUUGGCCAUAUAAGGAGCAAAUCUUUUCGCAAAAAUUUUCGCCUAAUGAGGAAAGAAAUUGCAGCUGCAUUUCUGCUUCACAGCAAUGAUCUAUUAUGCGAAAAUAGUAGCACUCUAAAGCCAGAAGAUCGAUCUUUCUACGAUCGGAUACUAAAGGAAAGAGGAAACGACGAGGACCUAGCUCAGUCGGUUAAAUUUCUAGCCGAAUCUAUUCACCAGAGCUCAAAUCAUUAUUCGAUAAUCCUCAUCGACGAAUACGAUACUCCAAUUCAGACCGCGUUGGAGAAUGGACAUUUGGCGGAAAUGAAGAAAUUCAUGCUGUCGUUUUACUGGUUCACUCUGAAGGCGAAUAAAUUCUAUUGGAGGGCUGUUUUUACAGGGGUGACGCAUAUGCACUGUGGAAUACUGACGGGGAUCAUGGCGAUUGUUUCCACGGUCUUGGGUAAUACGUAUCAAAAAUGUUUUGGCUUUACAAGAUCAGAGGUUAAAGAGCUGGUAGAACGGAGUGGCAAAAGGCCGCAGGCGCUGUCUCACGUAGAAAACGUAUACGACGGAUACACGUUCGGGCGGGUAGAGCACGUGUUCAACCCUUGGUCCGUUUCAAAUUAUCUGUUCUGUGGUUGCAAAAUGACGUGGUCGGCUGGAGACUCUCAAGAAGCCGUGGAGAAGUUUAUAUUGGGCCAUGGAUUGUACCCUAUUUUAACCAUUCAGCGGAUGUUAACAGGUGAAUUUGUUUGGAAACACGUAUUACGGCAGAUAUUUGACGUCAAGACAUGGGAGGAAGAGCCGGCAUAUUGGGGUUACCUCUUGCAGUUGGGUUACUUAUCGACUACUAGGCGUGCUAAGGGAAUACGUCUGCUGGACUUAGUUUCCAAUCUUACCUUGCGCAUUCCAAAUUUGGAAAUUGGGUCUCGACUGCGAAUCCUACUGUACAAACGACGACCUCUUGCAAUGCGAAUUCCGAAUUACGAUCAGUUUGUCGCCGACUUGAUGGCCGGACGCUUUUCACGCGCACAAAAAACCAUUAAAAGGUACGUGCGAAAAGCUGGACCAUUUUUCAACCCCGAGCGUAAGGGACUCCAUCCGGAGCUACUAGCGGACUACGUUGUUAUGAUGCUGCGGGGAGUGGAACGACGCUACAAUUCCACUGUGACCGUCACCAGACGACCCGAAAAGAUUUCUAUUGAAGUUCUACCGAAAAAUAUUCAGGAGAUACCUGUUCGAGUGUCCAUUGAGAGAACGAGCGUUUUGCGGACGACUUGGAAGAAGAUGAAGAGAAUAUGGUGCCCGUUCUCCGAAAAGUUCAGAUCGAAUGAUACUGAAAUUCUGAUUGCUUGCAAUUCGUGGUUUGUGCAAACGUGUUUACGACGCGUGGAAACCGCUAAAAGUAUCUGA
Molecule: long non-coding RNA, 1596 nt
Filed under: Bemisia tabaci
Lineage: Eukaryota; Metazoa; Arthropoda; Insecta; Hemiptera; Aleyrodidae
Description: lncRNA ENSSSA1UGG007070
Source: RNAcentral